GGCCACCCAAGUCCAUCGGGAAAUCCACCUGCCCAACAGGUGGGCGUCCGGUGGAAACUGGCUGGCUUGGAACCGGAAGGCUCAGAGAGUACGUCCGGGGUAGGAGUGAAAUCCCGUAAUCCCGGACGGACUACCGAUGGCGAAAGCACUCUGAGAAGACGGCUUCGACAGUGAGGGACGAAAGCUCGGGUCUCAAACCGGAUUAGAUACCCGGGUAGUCCGAGCUGUAAACGAUGCUCGUUAGGUGUGGCACCCACUACGAGCCUGCGCUGUGCCGUAGGGAAGCCGAGAAACUGGCCGCCUGGGAAGUACGUCCGCAAGGAUGAAACUUAAAGGAAUUGGCGGGGGAGCACUACAACCGGAGGAGCCUGCGGUUUAAUUGGACUCAACGCCGGACAUCUCACCAGCUCCGACUACAGUGAUGACGACCAGGUUGAUGACCUUGUCACGACGCUGUAGAGAGGAGGUGCAUGGCCGCCGUCAGCUCGUACCGUGAGGCGUCCUGUUAAGUCAGGCAACGAGCGAGACCCGCACUCUUAAUUGCCAGCAUCAGGUUUCCUGGAUGGGUACAUUAAGAGGACUGCCGCUGCUAAAGCGGAGGAAGGAACGGGCAACGGUAGGUCAGUAUGCCCCGAAUGAGCUGGGCUACACGCGGGCUACAAUGGUCAAGACAAUGGGUUCCAACCUCGAGAGAGGACGGUAAUCUCCGAAACUUGGUCGUAGUUCGGAUUGUGGGCUGAAACUCGCCCACAUGAAGCUGGAUUCGGUAGUAAUCGCGUUUCA
Molecule: ribosomal RNA, 783 nt
Filed under: uncultured Halobacteria archaeon
Lineage: Archaea; Methanobacteriati; Methanobacteriota; Halobacteria
Description: bacterial SSU rRNA
Rfam family: Archaeal small subunit ribosomal RNA
Source: RNAcentral